RNA transcript from Pogoniulus pusillus (Red-fronted tinkerbird), 4840 nucleotides. It is a transcript of the gene named double PHD fingers 3, with no coding region annotated. NCBI's taxonomy places the organism in Eukaryota, Metazoa, Chordata, Aves, Piciformes, Lybiidae. The record is from RefSeq and is a predicted model, not a curated record. The transcript is spliced from 10 exons.
AGGGACAAGGGCACUGGAAGUGUACCGUUGCUCUUUCCUCUGAGCUUUCUGUUGGCUAAAGGCCAUCCUCUGGCUUUGGGGAGGUAGGAGCUGUUACAACCUCUGAGCAUUUGUCAAGAGGUUAGAAAACUGCUGCUAAAGUGAACCUAUUAUCAGAGGAUUCUUGAUGCUGAAAUAGUUUUUGGGCAAGUGAUAUGAAGCCGUUAGUACUACGACAGUUUUAGGAAGCACACAGCGAAGAGAGAAGGUGGGAGGAAAAAAAAUGGGGCUCCAGCAAGUAGUAGUAACUCCUCUGUUCCUCAGCAAAAGCUCAAAGUACAACAAAAGGAUGUGCCGACUUGGGGACCAGUUCUACAAAGAAGCAAUUGAGCAUUGUCGCAGCUACAACUCUCGUCUGUGUGCUGAGCGAAGCGUUCGCCUUCCCUUCCUGGAUUCACAAACUGGGGUAGCUCAAAACAACUGCUACAUCUGGAUGGAGAAGAGGCACAGAGGACCAGGCCUGGCCCCAGGUCAGCUGUACACAUACCCAGCACGUUGCUGGCGCAAAAAGAGGCGUUUGCAUCCCCCGGAGGAUUCCAGGCUGAAGCUGCUGGAAAUUAAACCUGAAGUUGAUCUGCCACUGAAGAAAGAUGGGUUCACCUCAGAAAGCACAACUCUGGAAGCCUUGCUGCGUGGAGAGGGAAUAGAGAAAAAAACAGACACUAAAGAGGAGGACACUAUACAAGAAAUCCAGAGGGUUUUAGAAAAUGAUGAAAAUGCAGAUGAAGUGAACGAAGAAGAGGAUUUGGAAGAAGAUGUUCCAAAACGAAAGAACAGGCCUAGGGGACGGGCUCGGGGAUCUGGAGGUGGCAGGAGAAGGAAUGAUGCUGCCUCCCAGGAUGAUCAUGACAAACCCUAUGUUUGUGACAUCUGUGGCAAGCGUUACAAGAACAGGCCUGGGCUGAGCUAUCACUAUGCUCAUACCCACCUCGCCAGUGAAGAGGGUGAUGAAGCCCGUGAGCAGGAGACUCGCUCUUCCCCUGUCCACAGAAAUGAAAACCACAAACCCCAGAAAGGACCAGAUGGGGUCAUCAUUCCCAAUAACUACUGUGACUUCUGCCUCGGAGGCUCCAAUAUGAACAAAAAAAGUGGCCGGCCUGAGGAACUUGUAUCGUGCUCAGACUGUGGGCGCUCUGCUCAUUUGGGAAGAGAAGGCAGGAAGGACGAAGCAGCGCCAGCACGCACUACGGAGGACUUGUUCGGUUCCACGUCAGAAAGCGACACCUCGACCUUUCAUGGCUUUGACGAGGAUGAUGCAGAAGAGCCUCUCUUGAGCCGAGGAGGUGGCUGUGGUGGCAGCUCUCCCUCUGCAGACAAAAAGGGCGGCUGCUAAAAUAACUAAAAAGAGACACAAACUGAGCAAUUUGCUGUCCUUUUUACUACUAGGAUUAUUAUUACCUUUUUCUUUUUUCUAAUUUUAGGUCCUUGGGAUUUUGGGUUUUUUGUUGUUGUUUCUCCUGUGGGAUGUACACUGAAAGCACAAGUGUUUAAAACUCUUGCAAACUACUUUGAAGAGACAGAAGGUUUUAAUUUUCCUGGGGUUUUUUGUUUGUUUGGUGGGUUUGUUUGGGGGUGUUUUUGUUUUUGUUUUUCAUUUUAAUUUGUUUUUCUCCCACCUCCUCCCCUUCUCUUUCUCUCUGGAAAUGUGAAAGGUGGAUUUUUUUUUUUUUUUAAUAGUGAGCAGAGUUGAUUUUCUUGUCUUUUAAUAUAUAUAUCAGCAAACUGCAAAAAAUACAGAUGGGUUGGAGAGCAGAGAGCAAACCCAAAUAGUUUUUUUUUAAUUAUUAUUAUUUAUAUGUUCUAUAUAUUAUUAGGAAAACUACUUUUUAAAUUAAAAAAAUAGAAAAAGCCCACAAAAAAAAAAAGAAAAAAAAAAGUCAAACAAAAAAAUCAAAGGAUGUCUACUUGAUUAUAGAAGUGUUAGAAGUGUUUCUGGAGAACCACUGUGGGUGGACUCUGUAGGAGGACAAAGAAACCCUUGAUGUGAUGGCUUCUACUUUUUGAGAUUUUGCACUUACUGUAGCACGUGGAGUCUGACCCUUCUUGUACACCUGCUAUGUUGUCUUGAACAACCUGACAAUACAAGCAGCACCACUGAAGACUGUGACCUUGGGGAACACACUUCCAUCCUUCCUUUGGACACCUUUACACUCAAUAGAUUUUCUUCCUACCUGCACCCCUUUAUGUCUUCCUCACUCCGUUCUACCUUUUUCUUUUUUUUUUUAACUUUUUUUUUUUUUUCCUUCACUUUUCACUUCAUGGACAGCAAUUUCCAAGCAUAGGGAUGGAAUAUGAAUGGGAAGUCGUAGACAUGAAAGACAAAACAGAUGGAGCAUCAGAAUUAUGGAAGAAAUUAUGUGGAAAAAUACCUCACCUAUACUUUUCUUUCAAUUUUUAAAUUUGAAUUCACAGCAUUUUUUCCUGUGUUGCCCAGUUUUUUUUCUCUCUGUAGUGUCUUGUGAGACACUUUGUUUGCUUUUCAAUAGCUUCUCUUGAAAUAAACCAAAGCAAUACACAGUAAAGUUCCAAGGGCAAUGGAGAAGAGAGUGACUCCCUUCCCAGCGACUUUCCCAGAAAGGAGGAAACAUGCAGCAGGAAUUGAAAGUCAGUGCUGCCCUCGUGGACUCCAGCAUCCUUCAAGCAAGACAUUUCAGAAGAAGACCGAGAGAAACCAGGAUGCUUUGAUACUUCUCCUCUCCUUGCCCUGACCCUUCUGUACCCAUGUUUCAUCUGACACAGGAGCCUGGACUGUGGGAAGUCGGCUGCCAACUGUUUAGAGAAGUUCUGGGGAUGCCCCAAGCUGGUGCAAUACAAAGAAGCUUUUUUAAAGUCUUGAUUUCACUUUCUUUUAAGCGUGUGUAUAAACCCAAGUCAAACUGGAAUUGAUCCACAGUAGAACUGACUGAAAAACAAACAAACUGAAAAAAAAAAAAAAAAGACUUAACUAUUUUAUUUAUUUCGAUAUUUAAGAGAGAAAAGAAGUGCUGAAGUUGCACAGUAUUUUUGUUUGAAAUACGUUUUACUUCAGAUUUUAAAUGCAAUUUUGUGAAGACAUGAAAUUUUAAAAAGCACUUAAUGUAAAAUAAAGACUGAAUAUUUACUUUAAGGAAAAAACUUUUUUUUUUUAAGUAAUGAAAAUAAAGAUCAACUCUGCUCUCUCUCUUACUUUAAAGAAGCCAUUCAUACAUGUGCUGGGUAUCUUUGUUUUUUGCAAAUUGGAUGUGGUAAGUGAAGAUUGUUCUGGUUUACUUUCUUCUUAGUAAUAUUAUCCUGUUAGAUGCUUAAAACUUACACUGCUGUACUCUUAGGCACAAAUCUGAACAAAAGCUGUUGAAAUAGCAAAGACCAGGCACAGUGGCUGGAUUGGUUUGUUACCAGUUUUUGUGUCCCGUUCAAUCCUCCCAGUAGGAUUGAUGUGUCUCUUCUUCACGGUGUAAGAGGUUUGCUCUUGAGCAACUCUAUGAAAUGCUUCUACUGAAAGUGGAGUUUGGAAAAAGGGAAACAACUCUGUGAAUUUUAGUUUGUUUGGGUUUUUUUGUUGUUGUUUUUUUUUUCCUUUGGUAGCUCCACUGAUGAUUGUGAGGUGGUUGUAAGGGAAAUAGGUAAAUGCUCAAGUGCUCUUGGCACGGCGCUUCCGGUGGGAGUCAAGGACAAUGCCAUGUGUAGAAACCUUGUGUUCCUCAUCUCUUUCUUAAGUGGUAGUGGACUUUGGAAAGCAUACAUGUGCACCUGUGUGUCAGCAGUAAAUAACAGGAGGUACUCAGCAGGAGAAGAAUGUUAGUUCCCACAGUUAACACCCAAAAUUGUCUUAUAAGGCAGCAGCAAGGGACCUUCACCUCCCAAAUUUGUUAGAUGUCUUCUCAGUGAACUCAGAUGUUCUGCUUUGUGCAAGCACUGGAGGGUUUUGUUGGCUGCCGAAUCUGCUCACAGUGGAUAGCACAGGGCUGUUCUCUGCCACAUGUGAUACAGCCUAGUAAGGAUGCAGGAUAGCCUUGUGUACUCAGAGAAGGGUGCUGGACUUGGCUCUGAGAUUAGCUUCUCUUUAACAGGAGUGACAGAUGGUGCAUAAUGGUAUAGACCCAGGGUAUAGACCUAAAGUAUAGAUAGAAAAAAUGAUUUUGUUAACAUGGCUUAUGUUGGCUUUUGGACUGAAAAAAGCUAUGCCUACAAAGAGGCAUACUGACUAGAUGAAGUGGCCAGAUGGCCUGACCCCGUGUUAUGUUUCUUGCACACCUAAACUUCAAACUCACCUCAUUCAGAGGUGUCUGUGUCAGUAGCAGCAGACUUUGUCCUCCUCUGCCUUCCCCUUCUCCUGCUCCUUCCAGAUUGACAUAUAGGGGCAAAAAUAACCGUAUGAGAUGUGUCUGGUAGGCCUGUUGAAUUAAAUGACACAAUUUAUAUCCUCGUUGAUCUCUUUGGCAGGAUAAUUUGGUUUUGUUCAUUUUGCUGGUUUCUAAACUCGCAAUGGUGAACUGCCUCUAGAGGAAAGAAGAAAUCAAAUUUUAUUUAAACGGAAUAUAACAAGACGCACAACUGAGAUGAAGGUUUGCAAACUGUAGGGUCUGUAUUCAGUUUGUGUAAUAUUCCUUCCAAAUAAAAGUUCUGCUUCCAACAUCCCUAUUGUAUAUUCCUCUGUAAAUAUUACCUUAUCAAACCAAUUCCACAAAGUCUUUUUUAGUGCAAAUAAUCUUCUUUUAAAAAGGCAUUGUUGAAUAACAUACUUGUACAUAUACUUUUCUAAGCUCUCUAUUGUUUAUAAUGCUCUAUUUGAAGCAUAAAAUAAAGCUUCCUCCUCUAUUGA